AUUGAACGCUGGCGGCACGCCUAACACAUGCAAGUCGAGCGGCAGCAUGCUUAGUAGCAAUACUAAGUGAUGGCGAGCGGCGGACGGGUGAGGAACACGUAGGAACCUGCCCAAGAGAGGGGGACAACCAAGGGAAACUUUGGCUAAUACCGCAUAAUCUAUUAGGAGAAAAGUUGCCCGCAAGGGUGGCGCUUUUGGAGGGGCCUGCGUCCGAUUAGCUAGUUGGUGAGGUAAUAGCUCACCAAGGCGAUGAUCGGUAACUGGUCUGAGAGGACGACCAGUCACACUGGGACUGAGACACGGCCCAGACUCCUACGGGAGGCAGCAGUGGGGAAUCUUGGACAAUGGGGGCAACCCUGAUCCAGCGAUGCCGCGUGGGUGAAGAAGGCCUUCGGGUUGUAAAGCCCUUUAGGCGGGGAAGAAGAAUAUGGGGUUAACAGCCUUGUAUUUUGACGGUACCCGCAGAAUAAGCACCGGCAAACUCUGUGCCAGCCGCCGCCGUAA
Molecule: ribosomal RNA, 504 nt
Filed under: uncultured bacterium
Lineage: Bacteria
Description: partial 16S ribosomal RNA
Rfam family: Bacterial small subunit ribosomal RNA
Source: RNAcentral